This 584-nucleotide ribosomal RNA is filed under the name uncultured bacterium. RNAcentral's name for it is "partial 16S ribosomal RNA". It matches the Rfam family "Bacterial small subunit ribosomal RNA", at positions 355 to 932 of the family's 1533-position model. The record is from RNAcentral.
UGGGGAAUUUUGGACAAUGGGGCGAAAGCCUGAUCCAGCAAUGCCGCGUGUGUGAAGAAGGCCUUCGGGUUGUAAAGCACUUUUGUCCGGAAAGAAAUCCUUGGCUCUAAUACAGUCGGGGGAUGACGGUACCGGAAGAAUAAGCACCGGCUAACUACGUGCCAGCAGCCGCGGUAAUACGUAGGGUGCAAGCGUUAAUCGGAAUUACUGGGCGUAAAGCGUGCGCAGGCGGUUUGCUAAGACCGAUGUGAAAUCCCCGGGCUCAACCUGGGAACUGCAUUGGUGACUGGCAGGCUAGAGUAUGGCAGAGGGGGGUAGAAUUCCACGUGUAGCAGUGAAAUGCGUAGAGAUGUGGAGGAAUACCGAUGGCGAAGGCAGCCCCCUGGGCCAAUACUGACGCUCAUGCACGAAAGCGUGGGGAGCAAACAGGAUUAGAUACCCUGGUAGUCCACGCCCUAAACGAUGUCAACUAGUUGUUGGGGAUUCAUUUCCUUAGUAACGUAGCUAACGCGUGAAGUUGACCGCCUGGGGAGUACGGUCGCAAGAUUAAAACUCAAUGAAUUGACGGGUCAUAGCUGUUUCCU